GGGUGGGGAGCAAACAGGCUUAGAUACCCUGGUAGUCCACCCCGUAAACGUUGGGAACUAGUUGUGGGGUCCUUUCCACGGAUUCCGUGACGCAGCUAACGCAUUAAGUUCCCCGCCUGGGGAGUACGGCCGCAAGGCUAAAACUCAAAGGAAUUGACGGGGACCCGCACAAGCGGCGGAGCAUGCGGAUUAAUUCGAUGCAACGCGAAGAACCUUACCAAGGCUUGACAUACACGAGAACACCCUAGAAAUAGGGGACUCUUUGGACACUCGUGAACAGGUGGUGCAUGGUUGUCGUCAGCUCGUGUCGUGAGAUGUUGGGUUAAGUCCCGCAACGAGCGCAACCCUCGUUCUAUGUUGCCAGCACGUAAUGGUGGGAACUCAUGGGAUACUGCCGGGGUCAACUCGGAGGAAGGUGGGGAUGACGUCAAAUCAUCAUGCCCCUUAUGUCUUGGGCUUCACGCAUGCUACAAUGGCCGGUACAAAGGGCUGCAAUACCGUGAGGUGGAGCGAAUCCCAAAAAGCCGGUCCCAGUUCGGAUUGAGGUCUGCAACUCGACCUCAUGAAGUCGGAGUCGCUAGUAAUCGCAGAUCAGCAACGCUGCGGUGAAUACGUUCCCGGGUCUUGUACACACCGCCCGUCAAGUCAUGAAAGUCGGUAACACCUGAAGCCGGUGGCCCAACCCUUGUGGGGGGAGCCGUCGAAGGUGGAUCGGUAAUAG
Molecule: ribosomal RNA, 721 nt
Filed under: Microbacterium sp. PVC(0.1)10A
Lineage: Bacteria; Bacillati; Actinomycetota; Actinomycetes; Micrococcales; Microbacteriaceae
Description: bacterial SSU rRNA
Rfam family: Bacterial small subunit ribosomal RNA
Source: RNAcentral